GUGCACAUAGGCUUGGCUUGGAGCCACAAAUCUCACUCACUCACUCCCAAACCAAACACGUCAAGCAGACAGACAGAGCUCGAAAGAGCGAUCCCAUAAUAAAGAAAUUUACACGGAAGAAGAAGCACAAUGAAAGCAGAAGUUUCCAACUCACGAUCGUUGGGGUCAGUGUCCGCAGCAGUGAAGAUCCGUCCACCAGGCCAAAUGCAGCAGCAGGCCAGAAGCAGCAGCCGCCGCGCCACAUCCCCCACCCCGCCACCGCCUCCGCUCUUCCUUAUCGCCAUCCCGCACAGCAAUGCUCCCUCCCUGACGGGGACUGUUGCAAGUGAAGUGCUUUUUGGGCCGGGAGGAGUUUCCUUGUUUAUUCGACUCCUCCAAAUCCGACUGAUUUUACCCGCUGUUUUUUACAGAUCACGCUGCCGCUUUUCAAGACGGAUGGAUGGAUUCAUGGAUAGCGUGUGCGGCGUCCGCGCAUUGGAAGCUAGCACAGCAGCAGCUGGCAGCAGAACGCCGGGACAAGAACCCGGGUGCGGUGAGGUCAAUUGCUUUGCCUGCCUUUGGCAGAAAAUCCGGUAAUUAUUCUGGCAUUAUUUGCUUAUUUAAAAACAUGAAAGAAAAUCUCGAUCAAUUCAAUUUCUCUGUUUAUCAUCGCUGCGAUUCCUCCGUCAUAAUUAAAUAAUACUCUGCAUGCUCUAGGUCAUAUGAAUGACAAUCAGGACCGGCUCGGGA
RNAcentral lists this unclassified non-coding RNA (729 nucleotides) under Zea mays. RNAcentral describes it as "misc RNA Zm00001eb401660". Lineage: Eukaryota; Viridiplantae; Streptophyta; Magnoliopsida; Poales; Poaceae. The record is from RNAcentral.